This 464-nucleotide ribosomal RNA is filed under the name uncultured bacterium. Its description in RNAcentral is "partial 16S ribosomal RNA". It matches the Rfam family "Bacterial small subunit ribosomal RNA", at positions 28 to 507 of the family's 1533-position model. The record is from RNAcentral.
GAUGAACGCUGGCGGCGUGCUUAACACAUGCAAGUCGAACGGAAAGGCCCAAGCUUGCUUGGGUACUCGAGUGGCGAACGGGUGAGUAACACGUGGGUGAUCUGCCCUGCACUUCGGGAUAAGCCUGGGAAACUGGGUCUAAUACCGGAUAGGACCACAUUUUGGAUGGUGUGGUGGAAAGUUUUUCGGUGUGGGAUGAGCUCGCGGCCUAUCAGCUUGUUGGUGGGGUAAUGGCCUACCAGGGCGUCGACGGGUAGCCGGCCUGAGAGGGUACACGGCCAAGUUGGGUAUGGGAUACGGCCCAAGCCCGUACGGGGGGAAGGGGGGGGGAAUGUUGCAGCAAGGGCGAGAGAGUAAUGAAGGGACGCGGGUGGGGGAGGGCCGGCCUCGGGGGUGAAAAAUCCUUUGGCUGGGGAGGACGCGCAAGGAAGGGGGCUGGGAAAAAAAGCCCCGCUUACUUCGUG